AUUUUAAAGAAUGUGAGAAGCCCAAGCCUUCACCAACUCCAUACUACUACAAGUCACCUCCUCCUCCGGUGCCAGUUUACAAGUACAACUCACCACCUCCACCGGUCCAUUAUUAUUCUCCUCCGUAUUACUACAAAUCACCACCUCCUCCUGUAAAAACACCGCCACAUCCUUACUAUUACAAGUCUCCACCACCACCAUCACCAUCUCCUCCUCCUCCAUAUUAUUACAAAUCUCCCCCACCUCCUUCACCAUCACCUCCUCCACCUUAUUAUUAUAAAUCUCCUCCUCCACCCAAAGUGAUAUCAAACCCUCCAUACUACUAUAAGUCACCACCUCCACCAUCACCGUCACCUCCUCCACCAUACUACUAUAAGUCCCCACCUCCACCAUCACCAUCUCCACCACCCCCAUACUAUUAUAAGUCACCACCUCCACCAUCACCAUCACCUCCUCCACCAUACUACUAUAAGUCCCCACCUCCACCAUCACCAUCACCUCCUCCACCAUACUACUAUAAGUCCCCACCCCCACCAUCACCAUCCCCACCACCACCUUACUAUUAUAAGUCCCCACCUCCACCCAAAGAGAUUUCACACCCUCCAUACUACUAUAAAUCACCACCCCCACCAUCACCGUCACCUCCUCCACCAUACUACUAUAAGUCCCCACCCCCACCAUCACCAUCCCCACCACCACCUUAUUAUUAUAAGUCUCCACCUCCACCCAAAGAGAUUUCACACCCUCCAUACUAUUAUAAGUCACCACCCCCGCCAUCACCAUCCCCUCCUCCGCCAUACUACUAUAAGUCACCACCCCCACCAUCUUCAUCCCCACCCCCACCAUAUUAUUACAAAUCUCCUCCACCACCAUCACCAUCACCACCACCUCCCUACUAUUACAAAUCACCUCCACCUCCUUCACCAUCACCACCACCUCCCUACUACUACAAAUCACCUCCACCACCAUCCCCAUCGCCACCACCUCCAUACUACUACAAAAGUCCCCCUCCACCAUCCCCCUCUCCUCCUCCCCCAUAUUACUACAAAUCUCCACCACCACCAUCACCAUCUCCACCUCCUCCCUACUAUUACAAAUCACCUCCUCCACCAUCACCAUCACCGCCACCUCCUUACUAUUACAAAUCUCCCCCACCUCCAUCUCCAUCUCCACCACCACCUUAUCAUUAUCAAAGUCCUCCUCCACCAUCUCCCAUUUCUCAUCCUCCCUACUAUUACAAAUCCCCUCCACCACCGUCGCCAUCUCCUCCACCUCCUUACCACUAUGUAAGUCCUCCACCACCAGUAAAGUCUCCUCCACCACCAGUUUAUAUAUAUGCUUCACCACCACCACCUAUCUACAACUAAGUUCAAAUUACAGAUGCACCAUUGAUGAUGAAUCAUGUAAGUUUAUCAUAUUUACUUUUAUGAAUGUAUGUGUGUUUUAUAAUAUAAUACUUAUAAAAGUUCUUAUUCGUGUUUGUUUUCAGGUUCCAGUUUUCAACUACGAAUAAAGUCAAGCUCCGUUUGGAGCAAAGUGAAAUAUCUAGCUUCGUACCCAUAUUUAUUAAAUAAAAGUCAGGAUGCAUCAUCUUUGAGCUACAAUAUUUGUCAUCGAGACAAAAUUUAUUUUAUUUCUUUGAUGACCAUCUUGCACUUCCUGAUCUUACUCUUUUCAAGUGACAGGCAAAUCAAAAUGGAGAAGCGUGAUUGAUUUAUUUGUGAUCUCUUAUAUUUAUUUGUGCAUAGAUCAAUAUGUACGUAUAUGAUAGUUUUCUAUUUAUUGAGAAAUUUUUUAUUGUAAUCUGUUAUCGUGUUUGCCAAAAGGUGUUAGCAAUAAAGAAUCGCAUUCAAUUUCUGCCUACACUAUUAAGUUUGUAUUUUUCUAACCACAAUCGUUCAUGCGAAUGUGAUGUAGCUGUUUAAAAUAGCUCCAAAUGAUGCAUAAAAAGCUUUCAAUCAAAUGAGACAGGGUCACGGUUACUCUUGUACCUAUUUAGUUAUCCAUACAUUUAUAUUCAUAGGGGUUAUAUGGUAUAGCUGCACUUAAUUAAUUGUUUAUGUAUGCAAGCUUUUCCUUUCCAUCAAUAAGCAAUGGUUAGAAGCAUUCUUCUACAUAUUCCUCUCUACUCUUCUAGAAUGAAUUGUUUAUUUCAUGUAAGAUGGUAUCAAAAGAUUCAAAACACACCACCUAAUGCUGCUAUGUAUAAAUAAAGUAUGACUACAAACUUUAUGACCCCUAAUUGAAAGAGAACUUAAAGUUUCAAGGUUUCUACACACAUUUUCAAGGAAGUAGGUUCCAAAUAUAACAUUAUCAUUCUCUGUACAAAUAUGACACUUCCAAGUAUUAUUUAUUGUAAGGAAUAGAAUGUACUCGUGAAUAGGGAAGACUUUUCAACAUCAAGUGGAUGAUGUUUUGCCUAAACUCGGCUGUUAUUGUUAACAUGGUGAAGUCUGGCUUUUUUGAAAAAUGGUUUUAGCAAACAAUCUAAUUGGAGAAUAUCAGUAGUUCAUGGCUUUAGACAAACCAACUGUUGUGCAUAUUUACUAGUUUGAUAGUUAAUUAAGGUCAUUCCUCCACAACUUUUUGAUUGGAUUCUAGUUUUCCUUCUUUGAGUACUUAAAAUUGAUAGAAACGUCAACUUUUUAAAUACUUUUUACUUAUAUUUCAUUUUAGAUUUCAUUUUCGAUGGAGUAUUUAUUAACCAAUGAUAUACGCAAGAGUCUCCCUCGUUUGAUUUCUUAAUUCAAUCAAUUUUUAUAUAUAAAAAAAGGACCCGAUAAUACAUCAAUGAUUGUAUUAAGAUAACUUCAGUUUGAAAAAUUGUACAACCCUAUACUACCUAUUACCUAAAUUAAACCCGAGAAUUUUAGGACCGUAAAGGUGGGUGGAGUGGUCGUCCAGAUAACUUUAACAUAAUUAGCUCUCCAAAAAUGGAAAAGUAAUCCUUUAUUUAAGCUAUGAUAUACACGCUUAUCUGCCCAACAUUAUAGUAAGAAUCCAAAAGGACUCACCUAAUCCCUCCAAUCCCUUUCUCUUUCUAGCUUUUCCACCCAACCACUGGUUCCACAAUUAUGGAAUCAAUAUCCAAUUAUGUUUACGAGGCGUGUCUAAUAUAUAGACCUCUCAGAAAAUGGUCAAGACUGUUACUAUUUUUUAGUAAAAAAAUAAUUUUAUAAUAAUAAAAAAUAAAAAGAAAAUAUAAUAUUUCAAUAAAAUUUAAUUAAAAAUAGUGAAGUUCACCAUUAGACCUAGACUAUAUUGGACAGUCCUAUCUUUAAGACUAAUUAUUGUGUGAAAAAUCAUCUAAUCGGAUUUUGUUACAUAACUCAAUACGAGUUGAGAUCUUAUCAAUUUCUCAAAAAAUAUAGAAUAUUCAAUUAUUAUAAUUUUGUAUUUCUAUAUUGACACACAUUUUUAAAACAUGUGACAUAAAUUAAACAUUUAUUAACUUUAUAUACACCAACAAUAUAGUAAUUAAACAAAUGAAAUGGAGAGGAUAUGAGGCUCAGCUGUCCUAUUACACGGCAUUGACUACCUUAAACAAUGUGUGAGAGAGAGGAGAACACGAUGGCAUUGUCCAACUUAAGUAUUAGUAGCUUCACAUGGAGACACAAUGCACCCAUUUUAUGGUAAUUUUAACAAAUGGGGCAUAUGUUCUGUCAACAAAAACAAAAAUAUGGGGCAGAUGCAACGAAAGUUACUGCCACCUUGGCCUUAAGAAAGAGUAAAUAAAUUGAUAUGUUGGACAAAACCAAAACGUUACUACAUUUCUCUUCUAGCUAGCAAAUCCAAAUCAGACAAUGGUGCUACAUUUAAUAUGUACAUUUCCACUAACAAUGGUGAAAAAAAAGAUAAUUGUCAAAUUUUAACAUCAAAGGGAGAAUUAAUCUCACGCCAUUUAAGAAGAAAAAUAUGAAAUAGAUAGUGGGAGAACACACUUGUCCAUCUUAUGUGAAAAUUUCAGAUGAUACGAUCCAUUCCUAGAAAUUAGAAUCACAUGUAAUUUUAAUCUGGAAGAUUGACUUUUCAGAAAAAUAAAACUAGAUUUGUUCACAAUAUCAUAGAGGAAUUUACAUGAUUUCCUCCCGUUGAAUUGUAGGACUAUUUCUUAUUGGCAAAGGCUUGGUUGUCCAUUUAAAAUAUUAUAUCACAUUAUCCAACAGCACCAAACCCAAUUUUCAUAACGGUAGUUUGCACGUUUCAUUCAUUUAUUGAUUCCAUAAUUUUAUGUUACAAGUCGACAUUGAUCAGUUGCUAAAAACUAUGCAACGACCAAAAAUAACUAGUAGUAUAUAUUUUAACACCGAGAUUUAUCAGACAGGAACAUAUGUAAAGACAAAUCAAAUGAAUGCCCAGUUUAAGUCAGAAUAAUAUAACACAUAAUAUAGUGUACACAGUUAAAAAAAAAAAAUCAAAUUUCACAAGACAAUAAAUGUAAUAUAAUUUUAUGCGCAGCUAACAAUUUUUCACUAGCUUUCGCCAUUAUGAUGUUUUGACUCUGUGUGCAUAUUUCAGUUAUAAGAUUAUUCCGUUUUAUGUUACUGAAAUACUAAUUCAACCAUUUGGCAUUGACAUAUUUCCAUCAUGAGUGCAUGUUUCUUUUUGUUUUAUUUUUCCUUUCUUUCUUUUGAAUAAUUUCUUCCUUUGUUACUAAAAUAACUUGAUCUUGAUAUACAUGAGAUAAAGCCUACACCUGAUACAAGGUAAAUGCAUUGGACAAAUAAAGCAAAAAACAAAGCUAUUCAGAAAGUGUAUUGCACAAACAGAGAAACUACUAAGAAAGGUUAAACUUUUUACUUUUAUAAUAAAUAUGAAAUUUGCUAAUUAUUUUUCCUGGUUAUUGUUCUUUUUAUUUUCUCCUUCAAAAUCAGCAAUAUGCAAUUGUGCAUUUCAUCCGGGAAACAUCAUCACAUGUUCAUCUCAUAAUUGAGAAGUCACAUAAUUUGGAUUACUCUAUCACAUUCAAAAAGUACACAUACAAAACAUGAAAAGUCAACUAUACAUUUCACGAUUAAAUGAAGAACACAAAAAUUCCAACCAAAGCUUGCAAUAGCUACCAUCAUGGGCUAGAACAAAAAUAAUGCCCAUUCAUGGAUAAGUAAGGCAAAACAGACUAGAUUCACAUUCCCUUCCCUCAAAAACAAUACAAAGUAAAAUUGAAAAAGAGAACAAGAGAGAAAAUGGUAAAAGAAAAAAAGCAUUUUGACAGUUACUUUUUUGUCAAGAUAAGCAACUCAGAAGGGAAGCUAUGAGGAAACUAUAGAAGAAUAGGACACAUUACUUCAAGUUCUCUAAUCAUUCCAUUUUGUCAAGAUGCUUAUUUAUAUUUUAAUUAUGACAAAAUACAUCUUAUAGUCUUUUAAGUUACACGAAAAUAUCAAAUUGGUCAUUUAACUUUUUUUGUAUCAAUUUAUGUUUGUAAAAGUUACACUGUUGAACUAUUUUUAGUCCCAACCUCAUUUCAAUCAUUUUUAGUUAAAUAUUUUUAAAUUGUAUUAUGAGUUUUGUAUCAAUCAUAAGAGGAAUAAUAUAUUAAAUUUUAUGUGAUUGCAUGAUGUAGAUUAAGAGAUUUUAGUGUUUAAUUUCAAAAAACACUAAAAUGUAUCUCACUCAAAUUCUAUUUUGUUUAAUUAUUUUUCUAAAAGUUGAUUGAAGGUCUAUGUUCUUAUGAUUAUUGCAAUCAAAAGCCUUUAAAAAUUAUAUGAGUUUAUCGAAAAAAUUAAGAGAAUUUUGAAUUUCAAUUUUGCUGAUGUAAAAUUAAGAUUAUCGGCGUAAACAUUUACAAACAUAAAAGGCAAACUUAACACUAAUGAAAAUAAAAGACUACGUUGUUACAACAAAAAAGGACUAAAUUGUUAAAAAUAAAAAAUAAAGGACUAAUUUUUAGUUUUCUUAUAACUUUAAAGACCACGGGAGAUAGAAAUAGUGACGGGUUACGGCCAUUGGAACUAGGAAGUAUAACAAUGUAAUGCGAAAGAAGUUGCCAACUGGGAGCAUUAUUUAAAGGACUUAAAUCAAAAUGAGUCAAAUCAAUAUUUGAAUUGGUCCUUAAUGAUAGCUGCCUCUUUACGACUUACUCUCACUACACUAUAAGUAUUAAGUCUCACAAGCAGCUUUUCACAUAAUCACAAACUCCAAAACCUCUCUUCUACCCUUCCACGGGAGAUAGAAAUAGUGACGGGUUACGGCCAUUGGAACUAGGAAGUAUAACAAUGUAAUGCGAAAGAAGUUGCCAACUGGGAGCAUUAUUUAAAGGACUUAAAUCAAAAUGAGUCAAAUCAAUAUUUGAAUUGGUCCUUAAUGAUAGCUGCCUCUUUACGACUUACUCUCACUACACUAUAAGUAUUAAGUCUCACAAGCAGCUUUUCACAUAAUCACAAACUCCAAAACCUCUCUUCUACCCUUCCAGCUUUUCCACCAUAUCAAAGAAUAUUAGUGAGGAUACAAUAACAGAAGCAUUGGAGGUGACAACUUUUUCUUUCUACCCAUGACAGAUAGAACCAGUUGCCCCAGAAGGGAUUAUAUCUGGCCACCAAUGGCAACGGCAUUGGCCAUUGUGUUAAUUUCCACAACUGUGGUUUCUGUUGCUGCUGAUAGUUACAUUUACUCUUCUCCACCACCACCUCCUUACGUGUACAAGUCACCACCUCCUCCAUCACCAUCAACUCCAACACAUUACAUUUACAAGUCUCCACCACCUCCACCCUAUGAGCACAAGUCUCCAUCUUAUGAGUACAAGUCUCCCCCACCUCCUUCACCAUCACCC
This 6769-nucleotide long non-coding RNA is filed under the name Cicer arietinum (chickpea). RNAcentral's name for it is "long non-coding RNA (CARI_LNC001280)". Lineage: Eukaryota; Viridiplantae; Streptophyta; Magnoliopsida; Fabales; Fabaceae. The record is from RNAcentral.